CACGGAGCUGUGGCCAAGAAGUGCUGGGGUUCCAGGGACUGGGAAGGGGGAAUUCGGAGCAGGUGGUUUGGCUGGAUGCUGCCACUGGCUUCUGCUGAGGAUACCUGGACUCCUAAGCUGUGCUGUCCCAUGCAUUCAGUCUCCUUCUUGUGCCAUACACAGGCAGGCUGAAUGCCAUCCCUGAGUGGAAAGCUUGGAGGAAAUUUCCUGGGAACAGGUAAAGAGGAGAGGUCUUUCAGGGCUUCCCAGGUCAGAUUGACGCUGGAUUGCUGCCCAUCCCUCCAUACCAUAGCUGGGGGAGAUUUCAGGUCACUGAUUGUCUAGAACACCUACAUCACACCUGGCUCUUAUCAUGGUGCCCUGCCCAGGGACAAACUGUUCCAGCAGAGGGAGAUCAUAAGGGACAAUGCUUUGUUUUUUUUCAGCUGGAAAUUGUUGCUUGGGUUCCUUGCCCUCUCCUCCCCGUCCCACAUCCAUCUUCAAAUGACCACAUCUCAACUUUCCUUUUCUCACCCAUCUCCUCACCCCAUGUUUCUACCCAAGACAAAUGACCAUAAGUCACUUGACUAUCCUGCAAGGAACAGAAAAAUCCUACAAGGAGCUGGAUCCCAUUCUUCGUCCUCCUGUAGAGCUGACUUGGACUGGAGAAUGAACAAGCAAAGCCCUGAGGCUGUGUUCAGAGCUAGUUCCAGGGUCAGUGAAGUGCUACAGCUCUUACCCAGGUGGGUUAUAAUAUGAAGGCAAAACCAAUUUGAGCCCAGCCAGGAAAUAGCUGUGCAAGGGAAUCUGAGGUGUCCUACCAUCUUGUCAUAGUGCCUUCUCCUCUCUGCUUUAGGAAGAGCUGUACUUGUUGCUCAAGCGGGAGCUGCUCUGGUCCAGUCCAAGCUCCUGCCCAUUGGCUUUCCACUUUCCCACAGAGCCCUUCUCAUCUGUUGGCGUGAUGCUCAGAGCCGGUCUCUGGCACCAGCAGCAUAGGCAGGACUGCAAGGAGACAAAGAGGGUCGAGACACAAAUGUUAAGUAUGUGGGAUAUGAGGGAAAUGUUGGCAGGUCAACCUGAGCGGUGCUGGGUUGUGCACUGAGCAAAGCUUUCCUACAGAUUUGAUGGGUAUAGGUUUGUCAAGAUAGGGCUGGUGUGGCUUGGAAAUGAAGGUAGCAAAGCCUCAGGUAUUUUUUGCAGCUGUGUUUUCUUGUCCUUGAGGGACAGAAAAUAGUUGGCUCAAUUCCUUGCCAUAGCAUCUGGGAGGUGAUUUUCAUCUCAUCCCCAUCCUUUCUCAGGGCCUCCCUCCUUCUUAGAUUUCUCUCUGAGCAGUUUGGGCUCAAAGUUUAUAGCAGCCCCACUUCCUGAUUUAAAGGCAUGUGGGGUUGCUUCUGAUUCAGAUUGACAGGGACUUCUCUGGGGCUUGUCACAGGCCUUGCACUGGGAACAGUCUCCCCAUAGCAAGGCAGGAAGCUCUAUUGUGCCUGAAGCUGGGAAGAGAGGUGCCUAGCAGGGUGAAAAUUUGGGAAGAGGGUUACAGUGAGCAAAUAUGGGCAUCCUGUGGGCUGUUGGCAGGCCCCACGUGUACCUGAUGCCUGCCUUUCCCCUCAUCCAAAGUCUAUGGCAAUGGGAGUACCAUCCCUACCUGGAAGCAGUUCUUGAAUUUUCGGCUGACAAAGUAGAGAGCCACAGGAUUGAUGCAGGAGUUGAGAGAGGCCAUGUUGAUCCCAAAGUAAUCCAUGACGAGGAGGAAACUGUGGUAAGAGGGGAGAGAAGGGGCUGGUAGCUCGCUGGGUGGACAGCUGGAGGAGUUUCCAAACUUCCAAAUGUUUCUCUGCCCAGGAGACAUCUUUAACUCAUAAAUAGUACAGAGAAAACUGAAUUUUCUCUCUCCACGUGGCCCCCCACCUCCUUGCUCUGUGCCUGCCUACAGAGCAAUGCCAACUAGAAGAGGAGUUGGAAGGUGUUUGGAAAGCAGAUCCCUCAGCUUGCUCUGAGCCCAGUGAGCCUCUAGGUGCUCUUUAGAGCUUAACAGCACAGCGCCCUCCUGCUGGUGCUCUUACCUGAGCAGCUCACAUCUGUUGGGGUCUGUCUGAUCAUAGAUGGUCUUUUUGAGGAUGCGGCUGAGGUGGAGCGGCAGCCAGCAGAGCGCAAAGAUCACCACGAGGCAGAAGACGGUUUUGGCCACCUCCCGACGCUGCAAGGAGAGGGUGGGCAGGGGAGAAGGUAUACUCUGGUUGAGUGCCUGGGGCAAAGCACCCUCUUCUCGUGCUGAUCAAUGGCCCUUCAUGUCCUUUCUAUAACCUGAGGAGGGCUGGGCACCCUUUUGAGUCCAAAGCACAGCCUAUCAGUCCCAGUUCCUACAUCAUGAGGAUGACUUGUGAGAUCCAGGCUGCAGAAAGCAGUAAGGUAGCAGUAAUGCAAUGUGGACCAGGGUAGAGUCUCCUUCUCCCCAUCCUACUAUCAUUUCUAGUCACUUUGCUGAGGUAGCCUCAUCUAUCUGCCCUUCCUGCUAUGUUCUUGGAGCAACCAGCAGGUCACCAAGGUAUGGGAGAGAGCAAAGACAAGUAUAAAUGACCAUAGGAAUUGAAAAGCGAACUGGUCUGUGGUCACAAAGCUGGUAGUUUCGGUUGGCUCUGAGGUGGAAGAUUGUAGAGGUGAGAGCCCUUCUCCCUGUUUAAUUCAUGCAUCUGCAUCCACCUGUCAAGAAGCCAUUGACUUCUGUGAAGCUAUGUCCUUUGUAGGAACUCAUGUAUGUUCUCCCAUUCUACAUCAUUACCUUUUGUUUUGGGAAAUGAGGUUUCUGCCCUCCUGGUUUUCUUACCCGUUUCAUGUGGUCAUUCAGAGCGAUUCUCAUGCCAUUUCUCUUGCUCAGCAUUUCACAUGACAUGAGGGUGUAGAAGAUGCCAGUGCAUACUAAGGGGAGGCAGAAGUAGAAGCCGAAAAGCCACCAGUCCUUCACAUCACGAUAGAACUGUAUGGAAAACAGAGAGGAACUGGAAAUGGGGAAGAAGGAAGGUAGCUGAUGCAUUUGUCCCUGACAACAAUGAAUCAGUUUAUGGAUGAACGCAUAAAAUAUCAUAGAAUUAGGGAGCAGCUGUAGGUUCCGAACGCGAUGUGAUGGGAGCUAUCGGCAUAGGGAGGGGGAGAUGUUGUAUGCGUAGCGAGGGAAACGAGGUGUGUUGUAGGCGUAGCGAGGGAAACGAGGUGUGACGCGUGCAGGUUCCUAUGCCACCUGUGUGUUAUGCCACCUGUGUGUGCCAAGUGUAACUUCGUGAUUGGAGGAAACACUUGUAUUUAAACACGUAGCCUAUAGCAAUAAACGCCAUUUGCCUCACUUACUCCUGGGGUCUGGGUGAGCAUCUGGCCCCGACCUGGUAAAGGGUCGGUUUCGCCCAGCAGUAAGCCCUACAUGUGGACAGAGGACGAACACCGGACGAGCGAACGGAGACUACAUGCAACACUCCUUGGCCUGUUCUGACAGCCUAGCAGCUUCUUGAAGCUUCCCAAGAUUGGUCAUGACUUUCUGAUGUGGGCACUGAGGAUGAAACAUAGCUAAAAGACAUUCUGCCUGUUUCCAGGCCUCACAUUCAAAGCACCACUCCCCCAUGUUGGUACUUCCUGCAUAGUCUGUGCUUUGUCUAAUCUCUCCCCACAUUCUCCCUGUUGGCUGGAAGUCAUGUAUAGAAGCAUCUAAACCUCUAAUCAAGGAGAAAGGAAGCCCCAUUUGCCUGUGUCUUCCUCUUCCUUGCACUGCAGCUGGGAUGGGUCAGAGUACAUACCAUCAUGAAGCUGGAUUUCUGUUCAGAGGCAAGCAUGCACACCCACAGGUCUUGGUCCCAGUAGUUGAUCUCUACCAUGUCAAAGGCUAUGGCUUCAGGGACUGCAAGCACAAUGGCCACUGCCCAGAUCACUGUCACCUCCACCGCCUUCCACAUGGGGAUUCCUAUGCCCUGGAUCCGACUCCAGGAGGCCACUGCUCGAUACCUGCCCAGUGCAUAGGAAUACAACAAGAGUGGAGAGAAGUGAGAAAAGCCACUAUCAGAAAGAAGCUAGGAAGGCAACAGAAGGAUAUACUGUGGUUAAAUGUGGACCAGGCUGGGCAGGUCACCUGUGGAAGUUGUUUCUCACCUGUCGAUGCUGAGGGCACAAAGACUGAGGACCGUGAUGCCCACUGAAGCCUUCUGGAUGAAGGGGACCAGCUUGCACACCUGCACACCGAAUGGCCAGUCCUUUGCCAAGAGCUGGGGAAGAACCUCAGGGUUAACAGACUGCUUUGGGAAGGCAUGCCUGGCUUCCUGUAAUAGCAGGUGGUUACCCACAAGGUGCAAGAAGCCCACAAAGAGCAGCUGAAAGCACUCUGAGGUUACCUCCACUGGGAUGGCAUGGCGUGUGCUCUCCGGUGCUUUGGGUUGUGUUGGGAACCACUCGUUUCCCCAAGGGCUCAUUGUGAGAUGAGUUUACACAUACAUGGAGAGAUGGUUCGGACACAAAGUCCUGAAUCCUAAAUCAGAAUCCUGAAAGCCACAAAGGGCUUUGGGAUGCUUUCAGAGGGGAAGUGGAUAUUGUUCUCUGAAAUAGCCAAAAUCCAGCAAGAACAGCUUCUUUGAGAUAGCUUUCACAGCCAUGAGACUUAUGUGCUCCCUAUACUCAGCCCUUCUACCACAUUUAGGUUCCUUAGUGCAAAUUAUCCUCAAAACUCUUCUCACCUCUGGAAUUAGAUUCGAUCUGGCGACCCCUUUAAAGCCAGUACCUAUUUGUGGCCCUAAGCUCAACUGAGACAAGCAGAGAGUAUCAGUGGGGCAAUAUGAGAUAGGAGAAAGGGAGCUCUGAGAGAUGGCCAAGUGUGUCUUGAAGCCAAGAGCUUGUGUUAGCGUGGGCUGUCCUGUGGAUGAAGCCUUUGGUAUAAGUCUUGAACUCUGUACAGCCCUCACUACCAUCACUGCUGACCUGACCUGGACAUAGAGCUGGGUAUUCAGCCUGUGACAGGCUCAUCUACCAGCUUCCUUCAGUAAGAUUGUUUCUACAGUCUCCAUCUGGUCCCACAUGCCCUUUUUAUGAUAUGUAGGACAUACAGACUUGUGCAACAGGACAGAACCAGGCAAACAUACCAAAGAGGAGGGCUAUCAGACCUAUGUACCCACAACCCAGUUGCAUCUGAGCUCCAAGUCCUUCACCUCUCUGCAGCCCCUCUGGACCCUUCCUAUAAACCUCUUACUCCAGAUCACCAAAACCUGUCCCACAUGGUGGGCAAGGAGGAACUGUGCAUCUCACACAGUAACACUCCUUCUCGUGAUUGGGGUCUCAGGACUCCAUCCAACAUCUGCCAAACACUCUCUACCCUGUUUAUUAUACAGCUCUGUUCAAUGUUCCUGGAUGAGUCUUCAUAUUUAGCUAGAUGUUUUCAAGAGGCUGAUUUGUGAAUACCAAGAGACCGUAAGUCACUGUUUUCCUUGCAAUUUUAAAUAAGAUUUAAAAGAUCUGGAUGUGUGUGUGCGUAAAUAGAACACAUGAGUAGCUGGGAAUACCUCUGCUUUCCC
Molecule: long non-coding RNA, 5519 nt
Filed under: Gallus gallus (chicken)
Lineage: Eukaryota; Metazoa; Chordata; Aves; Galliformes; Phasianidae
Source: RNAcentral